This 36-nucleotide ribosomal RNA is filed under the name Aspergillus terreus. RNAcentral describes it as "partial 18S ribosomal RNA". The record is from RNAcentral. Lineage: Eukaryota; Fungi; Ascomycota; Eurotiomycetes; Eurotiales; Aspergillaceae.
GAAACCAAAAGGUCGGGUCUUAUGGGCCCAACCUCC